GCCGUAGGUGAACCUGCGGAUGGAUCAUUU
RNAcentral lists this ribosomal RNA (30 nucleotides) under Ustilago esculenta. RNAcentral's name for it is "partial 18S ribosomal RNA". Lineage: Eukaryota; Fungi; Basidiomycota; Ustilaginomycetes; Ustilaginales; Ustilaginaceae. The record is from RNAcentral.